This is a long non-coding RNA of Oryza brachyantha (malo sina), 572 nucleotides long. RefSeq lists it as uncharacterized. The transcript is spliced from 2 exons. NCBI's taxonomy places the organism in Eukaryota, Viridiplantae, Streptophyta, Magnoliopsida, Poales, Poaceae. The record is from RefSeq and is a predicted model, not a curated record.
GUGGUAUUUGGGUUAGAGCUGGCAUUCAAUUAUUUGGUGUUACUUGUGAUGUAUGCAUUUUCAUUGAAGUUGCAUUUCCUCUCUAUUUGCAGGGUAUUUUGGUCCGGUUUGCUGAGUAGUUCCCCUAGAUUAAAGAUCACAAGGAGAAGAUAUCUUUUCUCGCAGCAUGUUUAGUCGGCCUUUGCAUAAUCCUAUGCUUCGAAGAUGAAGAAUGGCCACCCUAGAAUUACUGUUAUCUCAAUAACUUUGUAUUAUUAGCCAAUGCUACAACUUAUAGGCCAUCGAGCUUGUGAACUCGCCUUGUUAUUAGCAUCGUUCCCUGUAUUAGUAAUGUUAUUAGUAUACCUGGAACGCCUUGUAUGUCUGGAACGUGCUAUUACCAGUUUACCACCCUGCUGUCAGUACUUAUAAUCUCGGAUGGAUAGUUUUAUCGUACGGUGCCUGUUUUCUUCUUUUAUUGUUACUCUUUUUUUUAAAAAAAAUAAAGCUAUAAAUUGUACUCUGUAGUUUAUCUAUUUGUACCAUCCGACCUGACAGUAUAUGUUGUGAUAUGUGUGAACCAUCGACAGCUA